AACGAACGCUGGCGGCAGGCUUAACACAUGCAAGUCGAACGGGCGUAGCAAUACGUCAGUGGCAGACGGGUGAGUAACACGUGGGAACGUCCCCCUCGGUUCGGAACAACUCAGGGAAACUUGAGCUAAUACCGGAUACGUCCGAGAGGAGAAAGAUUUAUCGCCGAGGGAUCGGCCCGCGUCUGAUUAGCUAGUUGGUGAGGUAACGGCUCACCAAGGCGACGAUCAGUAGCUGGUCUGAGAGGAUGAUCAGCCACACUGGGACUGAGACGCGGCCCAGACUCCUACGGGAGGCAGCAGCGGGUAUAUUGGACAAUGGGCGCAAGCCUGAUCCAGCCAUGCCGCGUGAGUGAUGAAGGCCUUAGGGUUGUAAAGCUCUUUUGCCAGGGAAGAUAAUGACUGUACCUGGAGAAUAAGCCCCGGCUAACUUCGUGCCAGCAGCCGCGGUAAU
Molecule: ribosomal RNA, 451 nt
Filed under: uncultured Hyphomicrobiales bacterium
Lineage: Bacteria; Pseudomonadati; Pseudomonadota; Alphaproteobacteria; Hyphomicrobiales
Description: bacterial SSU rRNA
Rfam family: Bacterial small subunit ribosomal RNA
Source: RNAcentral